AAAUGUGGUGGGAUGACUGGAGUGCUGCAGUGGGUGGCUACAAGCUCUUCAGAAGGGACAGGUGAGGAAGAGGAGAGGCUGUGGGUGGCUCUGUACACUGGGGAGGGUUCUGGCUGUGCAGAGCCCAGGGGCAGUGGGGAUAAGGCUGAGUGCCUGUGGGUGACAGUCAGAGGGAUGGCAAACCAGGCAGAGAUCCUGCUGGGAGUCUGUCACAGACCACCCAGCCAGGAUGAAGUGAAAUCUUCUAUCAGUGGAUGUUUCAUGAUGACUACCCCUUGUUCUUGUGGGAGACUUUAACUUGCCAAAAGCCUGCUGGAAACUCAACACAGUGAGAGUAUGGAUCCUGGAGAGUGUGGAAGGCAACUUCCAUUCACAGCUGAUAGGGGAGCCUACCAGGGCAUGCCCUGCCAGACCUGCUGCUCCCAAACAGAGGAGGGAAGUGGAAGAUGUGGUGGUCAGAGGCUACAGCAACUACAAAGUUAAAAUCUGUUCUUGGUGAGAAAUCUCCAAGAACAGCAGUUUGAGCUAACAAAACAAUCUGCACAUGGAAA
This is a long non-coding RNA of Cyanistes caeruleus (blue tit), 551 nucleotides long. RefSeq lists it as uncharacterized. Lineage: Eukaryota; Metazoa; Chordata; Aves; Passeriformes; Paridae. The record is from RefSeq and is a predicted model, not a curated record.